RNAcentral lists this non-coding RNA (26 nucleotides) under Mus musculus (house mouse). Lineage: Eukaryota; Metazoa; Chordata; Mammalia; Rodentia; Muridae. The record is from RNAcentral.
UAAUAACUACAUGGUCCCCGAGAGUA